RNAcentral lists this ribosomal RNA (497 nucleotides) under uncultured bacterium. RNAcentral describes it as "partial 16S ribosomal RNA". It matches the Rfam family "Bacterial small subunit ribosomal RNA", at positions 28 to 507 of the family's 1533-position model. The record is from RNAcentral.
GACGAACGCUGGCGGCGUGCCUAAUACAUGCAAGUAGAACGCUGAAGCGAGGAGCUUACUCUUCUUGGAUGAGUUGCGAACGGGUGAGUAACGCGUAGGUAACCCGCCUUGUAGCGGGGGAUAACUAUUGGAAACGAUAGCUAAUACCGCAUAACAAUGGAUGACACAUGUCAUUUAUUUGAAAGGGGCAAUUGCUCCACUACAAGAUGGACCUGCGUUGUAUUAGCUAGUAGGUGAGGUAAUGGCUCACCUAGGCGACGAUACAUAGCCGACCUGAGAGGGUGAUCGGCCACACUGGGACUGAGACACGGCCCAGACUCCUACGGGAGGCAGCAGUAGGGAAUCUUCGGCAAUGGGGGCAACCCUGACCGAGCAACGCCGCGUGAGUGAAGAAGGUUUUCGGAUCGUAAAGCUCUGUUGUAAGUCAAGAACGGGUGUGAGAGUGGAAAGUUCACACUGUGACGGUAGCUUACCAGAAAGGGACGGCUAACUACGUG